This 674-nucleotide long non-coding RNA is filed under the name Homo sapiens (human). RNAcentral describes it as "HSALNT0408132". The record is from RNAcentral. Lineage: Eukaryota; Metazoa; Chordata; Mammalia; Primates; Hominidae.
AGCUAUUAAUAGAUAAUGUCUUUAACCUAAAGCUUCAUCUCCCCACCUCCACCCUACACACACACACACACACACACACACACACACACAUCUUUACUCUCCAGUGACAUAGAACUAUCAUUUCUGAAGACACCUUGCUUUUUCCCUCCAGCUUGAUUUUUUGUUUGCACCAUACUAAACCUAGGAAGCCCUGCCUUUCCUCUUGCUUCCAAUGAGGUUUCUCCAGGAACCAGCUCAAAAUGCACCACUUCAGUUCAAGCAGAAUUAGUGUUCUCUCCUUUGUAUGUCACAGUGCUGCACUACCCAACGGCUUCCCCUUUUAAAUUGUGGUCAGAGCAAAAACAAUGAGUCAUGCUUUAGUUAUAUUUUUCCUUUUCUGUCUCUCUCUUUUCCCUCCUCUUCUCUCCUGCCUGUCUCUGAUGCAUAGAAGGCAUUCCAUAAAUGCUUGUUGAUGAAACACAUAUCCAAGAAAAGGUAGUCUGCAGGAAAACUGGAGGAAGACUUAUGCUUAGAGUCCUUGCUCUGCAAACUUCUACAGGAACCAGUGUGGACUUGGAGGCCUUAGCAAACUAUCACAGGAACAGAAAACCAAAUACCGCAUGUUCUCACUUAUAACUGGGAGCUAAAUCAUGAGAGCACAAGGACACCCAGAGAACAACAUACACUGGGGCCUU